UACGAAGGGGGCUAGCGUUGCUCGGAAUCACUGGGCGUAAAGCGCACGUAGGCGGAUCUUUAAGUCAGGGGUGAAAUCCUGGAGCUCAACUCCAGAACUGCCUUUGAUACUGGGGAUCUCGAGUCCGGGAGAGGUGAGUGGAACUCCGAGUGUAGAGGUGAAAUUCGCAGAUAUUCGGAAGAACACCAGUGGCGAAGGCGGCUCACUGGCCCGGUACUGACGCUGAGGUGCGAAAGCGUGGGGAGCAAACAGG
This 253-nucleotide ribosomal RNA is filed under the name uncultured bacterium. RNAcentral describes it as "partial 16S ribosomal RNA". It matches the Rfam family "Bacterial small subunit ribosomal RNA", at positions 524 to 776 of the family's 1533-position model. The record is from RNAcentral.